UACGAAGGUUUCUUAGUGGCGAACGGGUGCGUAACGCGUUGGUGACCUGCCCAGAAGUGUGGGAUAACAGUUCGAAAGGACUGCUAAUACCGCAUGUGGUCAUCGGGUUUAAAAACCGAUGAUUAAAGCAUUAAUGCGCUUCUGGAGGGACCUGCGUCCCAUCAGCUAGUUGGUGAGGUAACGGCCCACCAAGGCUACGACGGGUAGGGGACCUGAGAGGGUGGUCCCCCACACUGGCACUGAAACACGGGCCAGACACCUACGGGUGGCAGCAGUAGGGAAUAUUGGUCAAUGGGCGAAAGCCUGAACCAGCAACGCCGCGUGCACGAUGAAGGUCUUCGGAUCGUAAAGUGCUUUUCUGAUAGAUGAGAAAGGACAGUAUCUCAGGAAUAAGUCUCGGCUAACUACGUGCCAGCAGCCGCGGUAAAACGUACGAGGCAAGCGUUAUCCGGAUUUACUGGGCGUAAAGCGCGUGCAGGUGGUUCGGUAAGUUGGAUGUGAAAGCUCCUGGCUCAACUGGGAGAGGUCGUUCACUACUACCGGACUUGAGAGCAGUAGAGGGAUGUGGAAUUCCCGGUGUAGAGGUGAAAUGCGUAGAUAUCGGGAGGAACAACAGUGGCGAAAGCGGCAUCCUGGACUGUUUCUG
This 646-nucleotide ribosomal RNA is filed under the name uncultured bacterium. RNAcentral's name for it is "bacterial SSU rRNA". It matches the Rfam family "Bacterial small subunit ribosomal RNA", at positions 80 to 742 of the family's 1533-position model. The record is from RNAcentral.